Molecule: RNA transcript, 2734 nt
Organism: Gadus macrocephalus (Pacific cod)
Lineage: Eukaryota; Metazoa; Chordata; Actinopteri; Gadiformes; Gadidae
Gene: cars2
Gene name: cysteinyl-tRNA synthetase 2, mitochondrial
Exons: 16
Source: RefSeq, a predicted model, not a curated record
CGAUCCGGGUUUAAAACCACCAAAGAAGAAACCAGGAAACGCCUUCUGUUAUGAACCUGACAUCCACGGGUCAGAGAACCAGUCCCGAUUCAGUCCGGGAUCUAUAAUCACACCUAAUGAUCCUCUAUCACCUCUAAAGGCUGCACUGCCAUGCAGACUACGUGGUUUAAACAGGCGGUCGACCGUCGCUUGUGGGUCACGUGUCUGUCAAUUUCAUCCAGACCUGCAUUCACACCUGUUGGCGGGUCGUGGAGCGGUUCUAGACCUGUUGGGGGGUCGUGGACCGGGUCUAGACCGCCCUGCACCCCUACUUGGGGGACGUGGACUAGAUCUACCUGCACCCAUGCUGGGGGGUCGUGGAUCCGACCCGUAGGGUUUGACACCGGGGUGAAGACCUACAACAGUCUGACCCGACGGAAGGAGCCCCUCAUUCUGACGCGGGACCGGGUCGCCACCUGGUACAGCUGCGGCCCCACGGUCUACGACCACGCCCACCUCGGCCAUGCGUGCUCGUACGUCCGCUUCGACAUCCUCCAGAGGAUUCUGUCCCGGGUGUUUGGGGUCAGCGUCGUCCACGCGUUGGUCAUCACCGACAUCGACGACAAGAUCAUCAAGAGGAGCCAGGAGGAGAACAUGUCUCCCACGAUCCUGGCCAGGAUAUACGAAGAAGAAUUCAAGAAGGACAUGCUGUCAUUGAAGGUCCUAACUCCCACGGUGUACUUGAGAGUGACUGAAAACGUGCCUCAGAUCGUGGCGUUUAUCGAGCGCAUCGUGGCUAACGGUCACGCCUACCCCACGCAGAAAGGUGACGUGUACUUCGACAUCCGGAGUAUCGGCCAGCGCUACGGGAAGUUCUCCGGUUCCGUCGAGCUACCCAGCGAAUCCGCGGACUCCGAUAAACGUGACGCGCGGGACUUCGCCCUCUGGAAGGCCGCCAAGCCGGGGGAGCCGUCCUGGGACUCCCCCUGGGGUGGGGGGAGACCGGGCUGGCACAUCGAGUGCUCCACCAUCGCCAGCUCAGUAUUUGGCAGCCAGCUGGACAUCCACUCUGGGGGGGUGGACCUGGCCUUCCCCCACCACGAGAACGAGGUGGCCCAGAGCGAGGCCUACCACCGCUGCCCCCAGUGGGGGAACUACUUCCUGCACUCAGGUCACUUGCAUCUCAAAGGGAGUGCCGAGAAAAUGUCCAAAUCCUUGAAGAACUUCAUCACGAUAAAGGAGUUCCUGCGGUCGUACUCUGCCCAUGAGUUCAGGAUGUUCUGCCUGCUGACGAAAUACAGAUCAGCGAUCGACUUCAGCGAGGGCAGCAUGCUUGCGGCCCGCAGCCAGCUGGGGGCGCUGGUGACCUUUGACCACGGGGCCCAGGCCUACCUGAGGGGCCAGCUGCUCUGCCCCCCCCUGGACCCGGACCGGCUCUGGGACAAGCUGGCGGAGGUCAAAGGUCAGGUGCUGGACGCCCUGGCGGACGACUUCGACACGCCCCGUGCAGUGCACGCCGUCAUGGACCUAGUUUCCCAUGGCAACCGCCAGCUGCAGCCCGUCGCCGAGGCUGACGGUGCGGCCCGCAGCCCGGCGGUGGUGGGGGCGGUGCUGGCCUACGUCAGGGAGCUGUUCGGUCUGCUAGGCGUCGACCUGCUGGACAGACAGGAGGAGGGGCUCUCCGGCUCCUCCCCCGUCGUUGUGGAUACUGUGGUGGAGCAGCUGUGUCAGUUCCGGAGCCGCGUGCGGAGCUUCGCCCUGGCCCCGUGGGAGGCCCCGCCCCCCCAGGGCCCCGGCUCCGCCUCCGCUAGGCCCCGGACCCGCCCGGACCGGCUCCCCCUCCUGGAGGCCUGCGACGCCCUCAGGAAGGACCUGGCGCCCGCGGGCGUGCUGAUCAAGGACCGAGGGGCGACCUCCACCUGGGAGCUGACCAGGAGGGCUGCCCAGGAGAAGGACCAGGACCAGGACUAGAUCAGGACCAGGACCUAGACCAGGACUAGACCAGGACUAGACCAGGACCAGGACUAGAACCAGGACCAGGACUAGACCAGGACUAGAACCAGGACAGGACUAGACCAGGACCCGGACUAGACCAGGACUAGACCAGGACUAGGACUUGAACCAGGACCAGGACUAGACCAGGACCUAGACCAGGACUAGAACUAGAACCAGGACCAGGCCUAGACCAGGACCAGGACUAGAUCAGGACCAGGACUAGGACCAGGACUAGAACCAGGACCCCCCCCCCCCCAGCGUCUGUUUUAUCGGGGUACGUUUGCUGACCAUCGAUUGGACGAGGUUCAUUGAAGUCAAAGUCUUAUAAACUCGUUAAUAUCCGACAGACAUUUCUGCUCUUGAGUCGACUUGAGGCCCUUUAAAAUGUGGAAGGAUCGAUGAAAUUAUCAAAAGAAUUGAUUAGAGGGGACUGAAACCAACGUAACUGGAAGUUUUUUAGGUAAAAUGGUAAAAUGUUAGGGUCAAAUCCAUGUUGGGGUCUUCAUGGAAGUCAGACCACUGUAUCUGUUGAUUGUCAGUCACUAAACUUCCAACCCUGUUGAGAAAUGAAACCUUGUUACACAGAACUCUUUAUUUAAUGUGCAAUCGUGUUUAUUGAUUUCAUCAUCCUCACACAUCGGACGCCGUUUCGUUUGUUACCUCAAUCAUUUGUUUUAAAAUGACAAAUCCAAUUAACGGCAGAACUCCAGUUGGCAAUCUGAAAAUGUUGUCAACAAAUCAAAUAAAACGUACAAACAGC